This 447-nucleotide ribosomal RNA is filed under the name uncultured bacterium. RNAcentral describes it as "partial 16S ribosomal RNA". It matches the Rfam family "Bacterial small subunit ribosomal RNA", at positions 29 to 523 of the family's 1533-position model. The record is from RNAcentral.
AACGAACGCUGGCGGCAGGCUUAACACAUGCAAGUCGAGCGCCCCGAAAGGGGAGCGGCAGACGGGUGAGUAACGCGUGGGAAUGUGCCCUUUGGUCUGGAAUAACUCAGGGAAACUUGAGCUAAUACCGGAUAAGCCCUUCGGGGGAAAGAUUUAUUGCCAUUGGAGCAGCCCGCGUCAGAUUAGCUAGUUGGUGAGGUAAAGGCUCACCAAGGCGAUGAUCUGUAGCUGGUCUGAGAGGACGACCAGCCACACUGGGACUGAGACACGGGCCAGACUCCUACGGGAGGCAGGAGUGGGGAAUAUUGGACAAUGGGGGCAACCCUGAUCCAGCCAUGCCGCGUGAGUGAUGAAGGCCUUAGGGUUGUAAAGCUCUUUUACUCGGGAAGAUAAUGACUGUACCGAGAGAAUAAGCCCCGGCUAACUUCGUGCCAGCAGCCGCCGCGG